UGGCUUAAGUAUAAAAUUAUGCACUUUCACUUUUUCUUUACACUAAUUUACGGAUUAAAAUCAAAAUACAACAAUUAAUUGACUUUUUCAGCAACGGUUCCUCCCCCACCCCCACGAUCUCUGCUUCGCUUCCUCUCUUUAACAAUAGAACCACUUAUAGUUUCUACUAAAAAGAAAAAAAUUCACUUCUCUUCAUCUUUCGAUUUUAUUUUCCUGUAACUUCUCUCCAGUUGUCUCAAAAACAUGAGCAUAAUAACUUUGAUUUAAAUGGAUGAUCUGUUUAUUUUCUAUUAUCCUCUCCAUCGUAAUGGUAAGACCCAAAACUCUACAUAUUCUCAUCGGCAUUCUUUGUAUUUCACUAUUGUCAAAUUAACUUCCCACUAAUAUUCUUCAAAUCAUAUACCUCUGUAGUUAAUCGACAAAAAAAAUUCGUUGAUAAAUUCUGUGAUUUUUAGUUUCUAUUACACAGGAUACUCAAUUACUUUAUUUACUUCAAUUUUAUUGUUCGUGAUUUUGAGCAUGUUGUUACUUUGAAGGCAAUCAUAUUACUCAUGUGCUUAAGUUAAUUCAAAGAGGAACAUACAUGUUGUGGCUUUGAAUGGGAACUCCAGGCAAUGAGAGUUGCAGCAUAUUGCAAGCCGAGUAUGUUAACGAAUCAUACAUAUUUGAUCGAUACUACCGAAAUUUCUAACUCGGCACAAAAAUCUUACUCCACUUGAAG
This is a long non-coding RNA of Arabidopsis lyrata subsp. lyrata, 721 nucleotides long. RefSeq lists it as uncharacterized. The transcript has 3 exons. The record is from RefSeq and is a predicted model, not a curated record. Lineage: Eukaryota; Viridiplantae; Streptophyta; Magnoliopsida; Brassicales; Brassicaceae.